This 496-nucleotide ribosomal RNA is filed under the name uncultured bacterium. Its description in RNAcentral is "partial 16S ribosomal RNA". It matches the Rfam family "Bacterial small subunit ribosomal RNA", at positions 28 to 506 of the family's 1533-position model. The record is from RNAcentral.
GAUGAACGCUGGCGGCGUGCCUAAUACAUGCAAGUCGAGCGAACAGACGAGGAGCUUGCUCCUCUGACGUUAGCGGCGGACGGGUGAGUAACACGUGGAUAACCUACCUAUAAGACUGGGAUAACUUCGGGAAACCGGAGCUAAUACCGGAUAAUAUAUUGAACCGCAUGGUUCAAUAGUGAAAGACGGUUUUGCUGUCACUUAUAGAUGGAUCCGCGCCGCAUUAGCUAGUUGGUAGGGUAACGGCUUACCAAGGCAACGAUGCGUAGCCGACCUGAGAGGUGGAUCGGCCACACUGGACCUGAGACACGGUCCAGACCCCUACGGGAGGCAGCAGUAGGGAAUCUUCCGCAAUGGGCGAAAGCCUGACGGAGCAACGCCGCGUGAGUGAUGAAGGUCUUCGGAUCGUAAAACUCUGUUAUUAGGGAAGAACAAAUUUGUAAGUAACUAUGCACGUUUUGACGGUACAUCAUCAGAAAGCCCCGGCUAACUACGG